AGCUAUCUAAUGAGCCUAAUCCAGUGACCAAUGAAGUCAGUGGGAGUCGAGACCAAAGAAGACUAAGUGGUGAAUAGGAGAGAGUACAAGAAUCAUGGGUGGACUGUACUGACUGGGCUCUAUCAUGAUGACAUGCCACUUCAUCCUUACCUCAGUCCAACUCCUCCACUCUCUCCUGGGAUCUACUAUGACAUCAUGGAGCCUUCAUCUGCCUGAUCUUGACAGAGACCUGAGCCAGAGGGAGGACCCAUGUGACACCACUACCUCCUCCAGGUUCAGCUAAGAAUACCAGCAAUAUUGCCAUUUUGGAAAGAGAUGUACCUUUUGGUUUGGAGCACAUUGAAGAGACAUGUCACAUUGCAAAACACAGUUCUUGGGAGCUAAGUAUGACGGACUGGGUCAAUCAUAUGCGAUGGGUAAGGGUUAAUGUUUUCCAUUUCUUCUCUUCAUAAUAAACAGUACUUUUAAAGCUUUUAAAUGUACCACCAAAGAAGGGUAUUAAUAUUUCCAUUCAGCAGAAGGAGGGAAAAAUGACAUGCCUUAUCCAAACCAUACAGUGUUUCAGGGUAGAUUGGGGAACACAGCAAAGAUCUCCUGGAAGUGGUUGCAGUGCUUAGCUACAGCAAUUGACCAUCGUGGGACUGGCAGUGAGGGCCCCACCCCCGGUUGACGGGAUUGGUCACAGGGGGGCAUGUGUCCCCCCUGACUAAGGCAGCUCUAGUUGCCCAUGUCUUCAGGCACCCAGUAACAUGGUUGCUCUACCCUUGAUCUCUUCCCAACAACAGUCACAGAUGCAAAGUAAAGCUUGGGGUCAGCACAGCAAUUAAACAUUAGUAAUUAAGUUGUUUCUGUGCUUAUAUGUGUUGUGGGAUGGGGACCCAGUUGCAUGUAAAUGGAUGGUUCUAGAUGUGCAGAAAAGGGUCAGAUCCUGAGUUCAAUAACUUGCUUGAAUUGCAAAGGUUAGGCAUGGGGUUGAAGUAACCCUCUCCCUCUCCCUCAUACUGCUUAAUGCUGUGUCUCAUCCCAUACAGAAUACACCGUUUCUGGUGCAAAUACUCAGGAGUGCAAACACAAAGUCUGCUUUCCAUAAGCAUUCACUUGAGUCCUAUUCAAUCUCUCAAAUGUUUGCAAUAGCAAUCACAAAAGGGAUGCGAGAGUGGACAAGGCAAAUUCAUUUUUAAAUUGGAGUGAACGUUCAGGUAUACUUUACAAUAUUUUCCUCACUCUAUCAGGAACUAUGGGGUGAAGUGGUUUAAUCAGGCAGAGGAGAGUUCGAGGGCAUGAGAUUUGGGGUCGAUGGGUGUUACAGCAACUGCUGUGUUGAGUUUACCAUCAACUACAGCACCUCAAACCCAGAAAUGAGGAACAUAUACACUGUUUUGAAAAAUAUGCUAUUUAAAUAUUUCUCUUUUAAAAUAUUUGGUGUUCAGUUUACCACUGCUAUCUUAAAUGAAGCUGAGCACACAUGUGUGAGGGGUGAACACAGCUCUCAAGAACUUAUUAUCCAAAGGCAGGGGACUAGUUUCAACACUAAAUCUAAUAUAACCCUCAGUUGAAGAAGUGAAUUCACAUGGUGGUACCCUGGUGUCCAUGAUUUCGGGGAGGUCUGUAGGGGCACUGGGGUCUAUCUGGAUGAAUAUAAUAACUUGCAGGAUUGAGGCUAGACCUAAACUUUGCCUCAUUUAAGCAGGGCAGGGGUUUGCCAAAAAACAUUUUGCCAAGAUUGACAUUUCAGGGUCAGAAGUUGGACUGUCUGUACCCAUCUGUCCUCAGGUGCAGCAUUACUAUAGUAUUUAUUGUGCUUUGUUGAAUAUCCCUUUUAGCAUGUCUCUUAGUACUUUGCUAUUUUGUUUGUCUUAUGUAAGAGACUAGUACUAAAUGAAUGCUGUUUUUAAAACUUGGCUCUAUCAAACUGUAGGACUUGUUGACAUUUUAUGGGAAAAUGUAAUAACACAAUUAAACUAAUGCUGUGAGUAACAAAAACAAUAAUUCAUAAUUUCACACUUUGUAAAUAUAUUUUUGUUGGCAAUCAAAAUCACACGCACCUCCACAACAUAGUAUGUCAUGGUAACAUAACAAACAUAUAUAUUACUUUGAAGUUUUAAUGUCCUUUUUGAGGUAUACAGCACCUUUUAAAAAAUUAUUUAUAACUGGAAUAUAACAUAUAAACAAUGUAAAGCUUUCAAACUUGGAUUCAUUACAGAUAUUAAAUGCACCUAUAAUUGUACCUUUCUCCAUCCACUUGAGGUGACCUGUUAUUUGGCACUUUAGGGAUGGAAAUAUUUUUAUUCAGUUCAUGGAACAUUUACAGCUAUAUUGGUACUAGAAUGUAGCAACUGUUUUAUGUAGACACAGACACAUAAUACUUUUGGAAAUACUGGAAUGAAGUACCAUGAAAAUUAAUAUUCUGCUUUUUCCCUGUAGACUUUUUGAAUCAGAGACUUUAUAUUAUUUUUACAGAAACUUAAUAUGAACCUAUAUAUAUUAAAUAUCACAUUCACUUUAUUUCCAGUGAUUUUUAGCACAAUGCCAACAUCUUCCACACAAUACCAUAUUUAUCCUAUGUGAACAUAUUUUGAUUAUAAUUUACAUUCUGAGCACACUUUGUAUGUUUAGAAAUGUCCAUACUGCUCAAGAUCUUCUUAGAAUGACCUGCAUAGUAUAUAGUGUAGACUUUAUCUCUAAAAAGUAGAAUAGUCCUAAACUUCUGCCAAUAUUUUCUGCUGCUAUCAUUUUUGCAUAAAUAAAUUGCUGGGAUGCGGAGCUUCAAAGUGCUCAGUUUUGACUUGAUUCUCUAUUAAUAUCAAGAGUAAAAACUCAGUGCCAUACUGGAACACUACAAGUUACAUCGCAGAGGAGAUCAAAGGUUGUGAUAUAGAGAUUAGGAGCUCUUGGUGACAGGCAACAUCUCUUUUGUGUGUGUUUAUACAGUGCUUAGUGCACUGGAAUCUGGGUCCAUGAUGAGGGCUCCCACAUGCAAGUGAAAAACAAAUAAUAAAUAUAGUCAUUAUUCUAUCAUGUAGUGUAGCAAUGCAUUGUAUGUCUUUGCAGUGUACCUUUUACCUAUGAUCUCCAGAUAGGCUCUUCCUAUCUUCAGUGUAUGGCAAUUACUCCAUUAAUAUAGGAAAUAGGAGGGAAGGUUUCUGUUGGAAGUUCUGACAUUGUGCAGAACCACCCUCCAAGGAAGGGUGGAAUAGAGAAGUAACUCACCCCUUUUCCUUUCCCCUGAGCUCAGAACGUCAAUCCUCUGAGUUCCUUAUCUUUCAUCUUUUUCAACCCAGAAGUAUCUUUGUCCAGACAGUGCUUUAGCAGAUGAAUCUGGGAACAGAUGUGCCAGAGCAGCUUCCUCAAUGGCAGAAUCUUUCUUCCUCUUUAAAAGAAAAUAGAGUAGUAUAAUUUUUGGCCCUCAAAAUAAGGGGGAAUCUAGGUAGCUGUUUAUUUGCCUCCAUUUUUGAGAGUCAUAUUAGAUUAAUUUAUGGUAUCUAAUUUUUGUACCUUUCCUGAAUUUAAAGUAUUUCCACAUUGCCAUCUUCCUACUGUAGCAGAAAGCCCCCUUUUCCACUUGCCUGCAUUUGCUCUCCCCUCUUUGGAUAUGUUUCUCUUCUUCUACCUUUUCUUCCUUCCUCUUUCUUUCAGUAUAAGAUAAGGAAUUGUGUUUUAAAGUUUGUAUGUGUGUAUUUUGUAUCUCCCCUUGUAUUUUGGUAUUUUUAUCUAUUUGUGUACCAUGGCAUUACUUUUGUAGCUUAUAUUUUAUACUCCUCACCUUUUAGCUAAAUGUGUUUUAGUUUCAGAAGUAAGUUAGACAUUGUAACAAUGUUAACAAGGGCAAGAAUCAAACUGCUGCUUCCCUGUAUCAGGCGGGCCCCUGAAAAAGCGAGUGAAUCAGUGACUGAAUGAGUAACACAGUAGCAGACAGUAAUUAACACCUAGGGAAACCGCAGAUCAACCAAUGGAAGAAAUCAAUAGGAGACAAUGUAGCAACCGGGAAUUCUCUCAACUUCACAGUUCAAGGGCUAGAAGCCCCGGUCUGAGUUAAUCAAUGCCGGGGACCAACUUUUGGGCUGAAUAUCUCCAUAUCGACUGCUCCCAGAGCCCUAUUCAAAAUUCAUCAACGGACUCCCAAACCUGCACGUACAUGCGGACGACCCCUGGGGCUGACAGAUGCCAUCCAGUAGCCACUGAGGGGAAAGUCCCACAAGGGUCAAUGACCCCUGGAUUGGGCAAACCUGAAAACUGGGGAGUAACCAAAGUCUGCCAAGGACAGAUAAAAAGCAGUGAAAAGUGACCCUCAGUGGCGCCCUCUUGAUCUCCAACUUGACCAGCACCUGACCUGUCCAGCCAGAAGGACCAGCUGGCGACCCUCUUCUGUAGGAUAACAUCACGCUGAAAGAAGCCUCGACUGGCCAUUGAUGGCAGACUCCAGUGCCUGUGGGAUAGGUACUCUUGUAGCUCUCUACUGUGUGUGUGUGUGGGGGGGGGGGGGGACCAGCCCCAAGGUUUAUGAUUUGACUUCAUUACAGUGUUUCAAUCCGCCUAAUAAACCAGAAUUUUAAGGAUCCUGAGUUGGACAUUUUUAGCCAACAC
Alligator mississippiensis (American alligator) is the source of this 4584-nucleotide long non-coding RNA. RefSeq lists it as uncharacterized. Lineage: Eukaryota; Metazoa; Chordata; Crocodylia; Alligatoridae. The record is from RefSeq and is a predicted model, not a curated record. The transcript is spliced from 4 exons.